RNAcentral lists this long non-coding RNA (1239 nucleotides) under Equus asinus (donkey). Its description in RNAcentral is "lncRNA (ENSEASG00005030703.1)". Lineage: Eukaryota; Metazoa; Chordata; Mammalia; Perissodactyla; Equidae. The record is from RNAcentral.
GGCAAUGGCCUAAGAUUUUCUACAAAGGAGUUGUGUUGCGGGUGGGGUGCCUCCAAGGACUUGCUGGCCUGCGUUGCACCACAGGGUUUAUUCUGGGUAAUGGUGGUGGCUUCAUAGUAAAUGGUGGGGCUAACCCACAGCCCUAGAGCUACCCAGGCAGGGCGACACGGCAGAAACAUGCAGCUGGAGGAGCCUGGCUGCCUGGUUCGACUCCUGGUGCUGUGUGAUCUGGGGCAAGUUCUUCGACUUCUCUGAAGCUCAGUUUCAUCAUCUGAGAAGUGAAGAAAAUUAUCCACUUCACGAGACCAUGAGGAUGGCGGUCCUGAUCCAGUGGAAGAAUCAUGGCAGCGGGGGCCCUGAGCGAGCUGGAAGGGUCAGGAGAUGGGACGUUUUAGAGUGAAGAUUUCUGAUGAGGUGCUUUUUCUGGUGGUGACAAGAUGCAGGGCACGAGCAAGGCGGAGGCGGCUAAGAGUCAGUGUAAUAAAAGGCUGGUGGUGACUGGAAAGUGGAGAAACUGAGACGCCAGGACGAGGAUGCGUUACCCUUCGUGGGCAGUGUCUUAUUUCCCUUUCCUUACAAAGCUGCUGUGUCGGCGUGAUUGUCCUCCUUUAACAGAUGAUGAAGGAGACAUUCAGAGGUUAAGAGACUGGCCAAGGACAGGAAAGUCGCAGAGCCAGGCUUCACCCAGGGACGUCUGACUUUACAAUGACCGUGGCCUUUCUCCUCCUCGCCUGCUGCCCAUUGACUUAGCUGCACCCCAUUAAACUUCACUCUGCCCAGAUAACAUCUCACAGCUUGACUUUCUCUGAUUUUUUGCUGCAGCGGCUGCACUAAGGAUGUCUCAUGAGCUGGAAGGAAAGGAGGGGGAGGUGCAGAAUUACAAAGACGCGAGGUCACAAGAAGGACAAAUGAGGACUACAGCCUAGCAGGCUUUUGCCAUUGGCCACUCCGAGAGGAGAGCUCUCCUGCCCCUCACAAAUGCAGGGGUGUGCCCUCUCUACCUGUCACCAGCUUCUGCAAAGCAAAGCACUGGGCAUUGCUAAAGCAUCACUCAUUCCCCACAUACAGCACUCAAUGGUGUAUCUGGGCCAUAAAUACUAUAUAAGCACUUUGCAAUCGGGUCCAUUUUUGUCACCAUUUCAUUCCUUUUAUACAUCAUUACUUAUUCUGACCAUUUAGAGCAAACUAUUUGAGAAAUAGGAGCACAGCCCAGGCCGGGCAAUAACCCCUCUUGUGUUG